CGGAGCUAACGCGUUAAGUAGACCGCCUGGGGAGUACGGUCGCAAGAUUAAAACUCAAAUGAAUUGACGGGGGCCCGCACAAGCGGUGGAGCAUGUGGUUUAAUUCGAUGCAACGCGAAGAACCUUACCUACUCUUGACAUCCAGAGAAGCCAGCGGAGACGCAGGUGUGCCUUCGGGAGCUCUGAGACAGGUGCUGCAUGGCUGUCGUCAGCUCGUGUUGUGAAAUGUUGGGUUAAGUCCCGCAACGAGCGCAACCCUUAUCCUUGUUUGCCAGCGAGUAAUGUCGGGAACUCCAGGGAGACUGCCGGUGAUAAACCGGAGGAAGGUGGGGACGACGUCAAGUCAUCAUGGCCCUUACGAGUAGGGCUACACACGUGCUACAAUGGCGCAUACAGAGGGCAGCAAGCUAGCGAUAGUGAGCGAAUCCCAAAAAGUGCGUCGUAGUCCGGAUUGGAGUCUGCAACUCGACUCCAUGAAGUCGGAAUCGCUAGUAAUCGUGAAUCAGAAUGUCACGGUGAAUACGUUCCCGGGCCUUGUACACACCGCCCGUCACACCAUGGGAGUGGGCUGCAAAAGAAGUGGGUAG
RNAcentral lists this ribosomal RNA (587 nucleotides) under Vibrio sp. RNAcentral's name for it is "bacterial SSU rRNA". It matches the Rfam family "Bacterial small subunit ribosomal RNA", at positions 847 to 1433 of the family's 1533-position model. The record is from RNAcentral. Lineage: Bacteria; Pseudomonadati; Pseudomonadota; Gammaproteobacteria; Vibrionales; Vibrionaceae.